This 6104-nucleotide long non-coding RNA is filed under the name Solanum tuberosum (potato). Its description in RNAcentral is "long non-coding RNA (STUB_LNC003301)". The record is from RNAcentral. Lineage: Eukaryota; Viridiplantae; Streptophyta; Magnoliopsida; Solanales; Solanaceae.
CUGAAGAGCUUUCCUAACAAGUUCCUCCUCUUCAAUAGCUGUUUCUUCAUCUUUCUCUUCAAGAACUAGUUCUUCAGGUGUCUCUUCAAGUGCUAGUUCUUCAGGUGCUUCCUCCUUUGCUAGCUCUUCAGCUGUUUCUUUAGCUGCCGCUUCUUCAGGUCUCUCUUUAGACGCCGGUUCUUGAGGUUUCUCCUCAACCAGUACUUCAGAUUUCUCCUCAAAUGUUGGUUCUUCAGGUUUCUCCUUAACUGCUGGUACAUCAGGUUUCUGUUCAAUGACUGAUUCUUCAGUUUUUUCUUCAACUGCCGACACUUCAGGAUUUUCCUCAAUGUCUGGAAAGUGAGCAACAUCAUUACCGGUAUUGCAUGGAAUUUCACUACCAGUUUUGUCGUUCAAGUCUACAAUUAGCAUAGUCUGCAAAAUGAAGUGAAUGUUUACUUUGCCUUCCAAUAAAGAAGCAGAUGUGAAUCACAGUACAUACAUGACUUAAACUUUGUGAUAGUGCUUGACCCUUACUUUUUCAGGUUUCUCCUCUUCAACGGCUGGUUCUUCAUGUUUCUCUCCAACUGCUGGUUUUUCAGGUUUCUCUUCAACUGUCGGUUGUUCAGUUUUUUUCUCAACCACUAGUUCUUCAAGCUUCUCCGAAACAACUGAUUCUUCAGAUUUAUCUUCAAUUGCUAAUUCUUCAUGUGUUUUUCCAACUACUGGUUCGUUAGGUUUUUCCUCAACUGAUGCAUAGUUAGCAAUAUCAUUAUUGGUGGUAUUGCAUGGAAUUGCAUCGUCUAUCUUGUCCUUUGAGUCUACAAUUGGCAAAUUCUGCAAGAAAAUUGAAGUUUCACUUAGUCUUUUGACAGAUAAACAGAUGUAAAUUCAUUGCACAUAUAAAGCUAAUAUGAUGGAUAGACUUUGUGGUAGUGUUUAAUCUUCACCUUCUCCAGAAGCCCUUCUGUUAAAGGUUUCUCCUCCUCCAUUACUGCUGGUUUUUCAGGUAUGUCUUCAACCAUUGGUUCUUCAGGUUUCUCUUCAAAUGCUAGUUCUUCAUGUGUUUCCUCCCCUGCUAGCUCUUCAUGUGUUUCUUUCGCUGUCGGUUCCUUAGGUUUCUUUUCAGCCGCUGGUUCUUCAGGUUUCUCCUCAACCGUUGGUUCUUCAGGUUUCUCUUUAAUCUCUGAUACAUCACGUUUCUCUUCAAAAACUGGGUUUUCUGGUUUUUCUUCAACUGCUGGUUCUUCGGUUAUUUUCUCAGUUUUUGGAUAGUGAGCAGCAUCGUUGUUGGUAUUGCAUGGAAUUUCACUAUCAGUGUUGUCCUUAGAGUCUACAACUAGCAUUUUCUGCAAGAAGAAUUUAAAGUUUCUCUUAGUCUUUCAAGAGAUAACCAGACAUGAAUUGUUGGACAUACAUAACUAAUAGGAUGGAUAAACUUCUUGAUAAUACUUGACCCUCACCUUUUCCAAAAGAGAUACUUUUUUGGGUUUCUCCUCUUCAACUGCUGGUUUCUCUUCAAAUGCUAGUUCAUUUUGUUCCUGUGUUGGUUCUUCAGGUGUUUCUUCAGUUAUUGGGUUUUCAGGUUUCUCUUCAAAUGCUUGUUCAUUUGGUGUUUCUUCCUGUGUUGGUUCUUCAGGUGCUUCUUCAGUUACUGGUUUUUCAGGUUUAUCUUCAACUGCUGGUUCUUCUAGUGUCUCCUCAAUCGAUGGUUCUUCAAGUUCCUCUCUUGCUACUGGUUUUUCAGAUUUCUCUUCAACUGCUGGUUGUUCAGGUUUUUUCAUAACCACUGACUCUUCAGAUCUCUCUUCAAUUGCUGGUUCUUCAGUUUUUUCCUCAACUGAUUCAUAAUCGGCAAUAGCAUUGUUGGUAAUGCAUUGAAUUGCAUUGUCUGUCUUGUUCUUUGACUUUUCAAUUGGUGAAUUCUGCAAAAAUAAAUAAAUUGAAGUUUCAUUUAGUCUUUCAAUGGAUAAAACAGAUGUAAAUUCGUUACGCAUAUAAAGCUAAUAUGAUGGAUAAACUUUGUGAAAGUGUUUAAUCCUCACAUUCUCCUGAAGAGCUUCCGUUUCAGGUUUCUCCUCUUCAAUUGCUUUCUUUUCAGCUUUCUCUUCAACAUCUAGUUCUUCAAGUGUCUCUUCAACGGUUGGUUCUCUAGGUUUCUCUUCAAGGGCUAGCUCUUCAGGCAUUUCCUCCUCUGCUAGUUCUUCAGGUGUUUCUUUAGCUGUUGGUUCUUCAGGUUUCUCUCCAGCCUCUGGUUUUCGAGUUUUCUCCUCAAAUGAUUCUUCAGAUUUUUCCUCAACCUUUGGUUCUUCACGUUUCUCCCUAACCAUUGGUAAAUCAGGUUUCUCUAGUUUUUCAGGUUUUUCUUCAACUGCUGGUUCCUCAAAUUCUGCAAAGUUAGCAGCAUCAUUGUUGGUAUUGCAUGGAAGUUCAUUCUCACUUUUGUCGUUUGAGUCUACAACUUGUAUUUUCUGCAAGAAAAAUUUGAAGUUUCAGUUAGUCUUUCAGUAGAUAAGCAAAUGUGAACUGUUACACAUACAUAACUAAUACAAUGGAUAAACUUUGUGCCAGUGCUUGGUCCUCACCUUUUCCAAGAAAGUUACCUUCUCAGGUUUUUCUUCAAAUUCUAACUCUUCGGAUGUUUUUUCUCGUGUUGGUUCUUUUGAUGUUUCUUCAACCACUAGUUCUUCGGGCUUCUCUUCAACCUCUGUUUUUUCAAAUUUCUCCUGAACCUCUGUUUCUUCAGGUUUCUCUUGCACAACUGGUUCUUCAGUUUUUACUUCAACUGCUGGUUCUUCAGGUUUUUCUUCAACCGCUGGUUCUGCAUGUUUCUCCGUAACUAUUGGUUCUUUAGUUUUCUCUUCAAUAAUUGGUUUUUCAUGUUUUUCUUCAACUUCUAGUUCUUCAGUUUUUUCCUCUACUGCUGGAUGGUCAGCAACAUCUUGGUUUCCCUUCUCGAUUGAGUUGUCCCCAUGUUUCGCACUCGUAUCUGAUUCAGCAUAAUCUGACCUGGUUUCUUCUACAACAUCAACAAAUGAGUUAACAAGCACAUUCCUAGCACCCUCUCCAUCUCCUGUCUCUUUUUUCUCGUCCUCUCCUCUUUGGCACUCUGAUUUGGGGGAUAUGAAAAUAUUUCUAUCGCCAUUGUAGUCAUUUGCAUCUUUGACUGCUUUCUCAUCCUUAGUGUCGCCAGGUGAUUUGAUUGCGUCAGCGUCUGUCUCUUCCGUUUUAUAUUUUGCAGAGCUAACAUCUCCUCGGACUGUCAAGGGGAUAGAUGUGUUCUUCUCAACAUUGCUCAUUUCACAUGAUGUUUCACUCUCUUCACUUGGAUUCUGUGUUCCCGCAGAAAUGAUUUCUACUCUUUUGUCUUCUGCUUUCUCCCCCAGAUGGAAUGAAGUCCCGGGCAUCUGUUCAUCUGACUUGUUUGGUGUAUCGACUGAUACAUGGACUUCCACUGAACUACCAUUUUCUUCGACAGCUUUGGAAACUAAGGGUGAUGCAUAAAAAUUUUCACCCUCAGUGGUUCCAUAAUUACCUUUAAUCAGAUCCUUAACAUUUUCAACCUCUGAAGUUUCUUCAAACUCAGAUAGUGAUUGGUCCCUUUUGUCUUUCUCCAACUUCAGUUUGUCUGAUAUUGUGUACACUUCCCCUAGCAAAUUCUCUUCCUUUAUCUGCAUAAAGAAUGAUGUUUGCUAUGUUGUAACAGAAUUAAGAAGAAAUGUGUUUUAAGUUAUCCAACAUUGGCAGAGCAGCACUAAAGUUACAACAUGAAAUUUGUCAGACUAAUCCUGCCCUAUUGGAACUGUAUAACAUUAGCAAGAUCCCUUUUUUAUCAUUGAAAUGGAGUUACUAACCCUAGCUUAGUGGUCAAAGCCUUAAAAGGUCCCAACUCCCUACAUAUAGGACCUUCUCAGGACCUAUUUACUCUUCGUAUUAUGUAUGAGAUAUUUAUCAUUGGCGAAAGAGACUGCAGUACGAAACAAUAGAAAAGAAUGCAGGAGGACUUCUACCUACAAUAUUUGAAGUAGUCAUAAACCUACUAAGUUUGUGAAAAACUGGUGAGAUACUGUUUGUUGCAUGUACAAGUGAUUUGUUUGUGGCUUCUAAAGAAAGAUAAAUUUGGAGUUUUCAGUUGGGUAAAUACAGAUUAGUCCGUCAGCUGGGGGCUUAAUUCUUUUAACUUCUGAGAAUAUACACAUUAAUUACCAGUAGCAUGUUUCUAGAUUAGGUUGAUUUGACAAACAAGUCGUAUAGAGAAUUUAUAAGUGUUGGUGUCAAACAGUCAUGAUAAACCAAUUACCUCUAACAUUUUUCUCAAGUGUUUCUAAACCAUGAGAGGAUUGAUUUGAAAUGUAUAUCCAUAACUUCUCCAUAUAAGUACCUGAGUGGAACAGUUUGCCUUCCAAGGCUAACUACAAGUUUGUCUCACACAAUUAAAAUGAGGAACAAGUCUUUUUGGGGAGAGUCAAGUUUUUCAAUACUAAUUUAUUUAAGAAGAGUUUUAAAAAUCAGAUUUUAUUGAUUUGUUUCUGUGCUAAUUCAAAGAGGUUUUCGUUUUAUCAAUAACUAUAGUCUUUUGGAGAGAGUCAAGUUUUCAGUAUUACAUUAUUUCAUGAGCAGUUGAGGAUUAAUAAUUGUGCUGAUUUAUUUCUGUGCUAUUUCUUUUAGGUCAUAUUACCUCCAAAAACAUAUAUAGAAGUCAAGUUGUUAUUACCUAAGAAGAAGAUCAACUGUUAUACGGGACUAUAUCAAGAAGGAAUCUCAGGUAAGGCAAAGUUUUCCUGGAACUUUAUAUGAACAUUCAGCCGUGGUAGUCAGGAUGCUCUUCAAUUAGCCAAUUCAAGAAGGAUCGAGUUUAUUGUAGAAUAAACAAUUUGAUUCAGUUGAAUAUCUACUAAUUUGUAGAAAUAACAUACAAGUUCCUGAAACUAGGAAACUUCUAUAAGUGAUAAGCAAAACCGAAACAAAUUUUCUUUUGUCAUCAAAGAUUGCAUGAAAUAAUCUUUACAUGAAGAUGGUAACCUUGAUUCGGUUCUUUAGUGACAACCUUUGCGCUUUGAAGAAAAUUGGCAGUGAUCUGGUGAAGUUAUUUCAUUAACGCAUACUUCAGUGGCGUACUAAUACUUAAUCUAGUAUGUAACAUGUAUUUGUACUUCUUAGGAACACUGUAUUCCUGACCGAUCUUUAUGGAACAAAUGAACACAUCUCUCUUCACACAGUUGUUUGAGGUAUGAUCUCUGAUCAAGCCGUUGCUUCUUUUGAAGUUUUUUCAUAUACAUGAAAGCAAGCUUGACUACUACAAUUAGCUAUAGAAAUUACUGCUGCAGCUAAUGAAAUGAUGAAACACGCAAAAUGAAGAAGUAUCAUGCUCACAUAAAGUAAAAAUAAAUGAGUUAACUUACACUUUUGUUCUCUGGUAUUUCAGCGUCAUAUUCCAUUUCUCAUAAGCUGAUCGCAGAACUGCUGUGUUACGUUUUCUUUUCCACUCGCUAAAGACUAUCAGAGUGUGUGUUGUACAAUUGAACUCGACUGACAAAUCUCAUAACUUUAAGUAGAGAUUCUCUAUAUAUGCCAAUGCAGAAUUACAAUAGUUAUAUAAUAAUUAACUGAUGACCAUGUUGUUAAAGUAGACAGAAAAUGACAAAUUCCACUUGUUAAUUCUACUAAUAUAGUGAGUUGGACAUAGAUGCCUGGUCCUUUUGAAUGAUGAGUAGUCACAUGCCCCUCUAGUGUAGCUUUAGUCAUCAAACAGCCACAUAAUUGUUUGUUAUGACUGUAGGGAUUGUGCUGCUGACAAGGAGAUAUUGCCAGAAGAUUAUACUUUUACUUGAUCCCAGGGUGGUUAUAAACUAAGUUGCGCAGACUCUUCACUUUCAAUGCCGCACCCAUGUCUGAUUCUCCAAAAAUACACUACUUUUGGAGAUCCGACAUGCAUUCGUUGACAUUUUCGAACCAACCUAGGUUAAAAUUUUAUUUGAAGGAGAGUAACAUGCCUUCCUAACAAUCUUUAGAUAGGUGUUGUUGGCUUGAAUUUUCCUACAAAUUGGUUUUAUUGAUUUACUUGAUCUUGGACAACUUUGGCUUGAAUUUUAAUGCAUUUUACUAGUGAUCCUAUAAUCUGUUUG